UUACUUUAUUCUAUUUUUCAUAUUUCUAUUUUUAUUUAUUGUUAUAUAUUCAAUAUUAUAUAUUACAUAUAUUUAAAAUAAAUUAUGCAUUAAUGUCCUGAAAACUUUUCCUGAGAAAUAUUACUAAACAUUAAACACAUAAAAAACGCAAUUAAGAUCACUUGUUCAUAAAAGGACCAAAGACAGCACAACAACAACAACUGAAAUUAAACUACUGCAAAUACUAAACAUUUCUACAAAUUAAGACACAAUAAUGUCUGUAAAUGAUGCAUUUAUAAGAAGACAACCUUACUGUGAUUACAACAUUAAUUCAACUACAGUGAAAACUUUGCUUUAAAAAGCUCUGUAUCAUACAAUAUUUAGUUUCUCUACAUUAACCUACACCAACUUCAUGAGUUUUAAGUUUUAAGUUUUUUACAGUAAAUCAAAUCACAGCAGUGCUACCAGUUUGCUAAAUUAACCAUGGUGACAUUUAAGUACAUAUAAGCUCUUUCAUAAAAAUAUGUUCUUUAAAUAAUUGAUUUCUCCAGUCUGGUCACUUGAGGAGAAACACUGUUUACACCUUCAGCUGAUUUAAAUAAAAAUAAAAAUAAUUCAGCAAUAUGCAAAUAAAGGUCACAUAUAAGGAAGUGAAGUGUGUGUGUGUGUGUGUGUGUGUGUGUCAGUGAGAGGUCAGAGGAGCUCACAUCAGUUCAGCUUCAACAUCAACCAUGUUCUCUGUAGCUCUGAUACUGCUGCUAGCAGUAUCAGAGCUACAGAGAAAGGAGCUUUCAGUGGAUUCACACUAAUAAACACAUUAGAAACGCUGAAUAGUCAUUAACAGGACAGAAUCUGCAGCCUGAGGACACAGCUGUGUAUUACUGUGUACGUGAUACAAACCACCAACAGACCUGCACAAAUACUCAGCAACCAUGUGACUCAACCACACACAUGUGAACAUUAAUGAAGACAUUACUUUCUGAUGAGCUGAUAAUGUCGAUUAAUGUUUAUGGAAUUCACUGAAUGGUGGAGGACAUUUUUUGUCACUGAGAGACAGAGGAAGAUGAGGCUGAGACAAAGAUGCACUUCCUCUACAAUGUACAACAUUCAAUGAAAUAAGGAACGUUUACUUUAACAAGUUCAACUCUGUAAUCUCAUAUUUCAAAUUCAAUAAAUGACCUCUCAAAAUGAAAAAUUAUCUGCCCAAUAUGUAUCUACAUGCCACAACCUGAGGGACAGUGAAUGACCUACACACACACACACACACACACACACACACACACACUGAGAGUCUGUUGAUGGUCAGUGCAUCAAAACCAGCACGAUGACUCGUAGUCGCACUGAGUGGCAGAGAGUCAACAAAGUGCGCUGUUCAGCCAUUAGAGACGAUAUGACACCAGUUAUUCAAGAUCUGACUGUCCACAAAGGAGAUGGGCGUCAGCCAAACGUGACAGUCCACGUCCUCACAGAGGAGGACAUCAGCAAAGGAGCUGAGGCCACUCUGGUGUGUCUGGUCUCCAGUCCUGUGCUGCAGGAUUACUACAUCGCCUGGUCAGAAGAUGAAACCAACAUCUAUACUGAUGGCAUUAACUUCCCCCCACAGAAGACCCAACAUGGCUACUCAGUUAUAAGUGUUUAUACCACCACCAAGGAAAAGUGGGACAAGCACAACAUGUUCAACUGCCACGUCUGGCCUGCUGGCAGCAAUGACUCCAUGAAACCCCGAGGAGUGUCUAAGUCCCAUGAUGAAGAGACGAUAAAGGAUGAGAUGGAUGCACAGCCCAGACGACUACAGGUCUUCAUUUUUUUUUCUUUUUUAAAACAUGUACAUUAUCGAUGAUCUACUGUACAUCUGCUAAAUGAAAUGGUCGUCAUAUAUAAUGAUUAACUAAACACUGAAAAUGGAUUUCUCUGUAACCUGUAGAAAAAUCAAAAAUACAACUGCAAUUGUUAAUUGUUGAUAUGAAUACAUUUGGAUUGUUGUUACAUUAUGAUUACAGAAGUUCUUGAUAACUUUUCAUUAAAAAGUGUUAGUGAAGUGUAGCAUUAACUUGUCAUUGAUAUGUAAAUAACAAAUUGUACUGUAGUAGAAACAGAAAUCUUUGCUUUUCAUUUUUGGUCAUUUUGUUGAUCAAAUUUGCUUUCAUCAUUAAUUCGGUAGAUAUGAUACUUACAAUAGAUGAGAUUUGUACAGACACAAACAUUAAAGGGAGUAUGAAUAUGAGUCAUAGUGUGCUUGUGAUCAACAUAAAAAGCUUCUGAGGAUUUUGUUCACAACAUCUAAAAUAACACCACAUCAAGUCAACGUACUGUAAACUUCUGUUAUCAGUUAAGCUCUGAAGGUUUUUCAAUUUCCUGGAGUUUCUAAACAUAUCAUCUUUAGAGAGUCACUUCCCCUCUCUCUGCACCUCUGGGACCACACCUGUAGCAGUGAAACUUUGUAGAAACCGUCAGAGCUACGAAUAAACUUCCUCAAAGCAAGA
Non-coding RNA from Siniperca chuatsi (mandarin fish), 2462 nucleotides. The record is from the annotation of a RefSeq genome assembly. Lineage: Eukaryota; Metazoa; Chordata; Actinopteri; Centrarchiformes; Sinipercidae.